Molecule: non-coding RNA, 26 nt
Filed under: Homo sapiens (human)
Lineage: Eukaryota; Metazoa; Chordata; Mammalia; Primates; Hominidae
Source: RNAcentral
CUGAGGAGAGCAACUGACAGGAUGGA